AUCGCUCCGCGGCCAUUUGGCUAAGAACAAACGUAUCUGUUCUCAUCAGCUUACUAUCUGAUGCAUCCCUCAUCAGAGGCUCAUCUUAAAUUUAUCUUUGGCACAGAGAUGGAAUAAGGGCUUGCUCCAUCUACUUCACACACUAACUUGGCAUUGCAGAACCUCUGGGAAUGGUGCACCAGGG
Small nuclear RNA from Rhincodon typus (whale shark), 184 nucleotides. RefSeq annotates it as U2 spliceosomal RNA. NCBI's taxonomy places the organism in Eukaryota, Metazoa, Chordata, Chondrichthyes, Orectolobiformes, Rhincodontidae. The transcript has a single exon. The record is from RefSeq and is a predicted model, not a curated record.